UGGGGAAUAUUGCACAAUGGGCGCAAGCCUGAUCCAGCCAUGCCGCGUGUAUGAAGAAGGCCUUCGGGUUGUAAAGUACUUUCAGCGGGGAGGAAGGGAGUAAAGUUAAUACCUUUGCUCAUUGACGUUACCCGCAGAACAAGCACCGGCUAACUCCGUGCCAGCAGCCGCGGUAAUACGGAGGGUGCAAGCGUUAAUCGGAAUUACUGGGCGUAAAGCGCACGCAGGCGGUUUGUUAAGUCAGAUGUGAAAUCCCCGGGCUCAACCUGGGAACUGCAUCUGAUACUGGCGAGCUUGAGACUCGAAGAGGGGGGUAGAAUUCCAGGUGUAGCGGUGAAAUGCGUAGAGAUCGGGAGGAAUACCGGUGGCGAAGGCGGCCCCCUGGACGGAGACUGACGCUCAGGUGCGAAAGCGUGGGGAGCAAACAGG
Molecule: ribosomal RNA, 429 nt
Filed under: Chloroflexota bacterium
Lineage: Bacteria; Bacillati; Chloroflexota
Description: Chloroflexi bacterium partial 16S ribosomal RNA
Rfam family: Bacterial small subunit ribosomal RNA
Source: RNAcentral